RNAcentral lists this transfer RNA (66 nucleotides) under Goniomonas pacifica. It matches the Rfam family "tRNA", at positions 6 to 65 of the family's 71-position model. Rfam says of the family: Transfer RNA (tRNA) molecules are approximately 80 nucleotides in length. Their secondary structure includes four short double-helical elements and three loops (D, anti-codon, and T loops). RNAcentral also lists the same sequence under 4 other names. Lineage: Eukaryota; Cryptophyceae; Goniomonadida; Goniomonadaceae. The record is from RNAcentral.
UCUUAGCUCAGUUGGUAGAGCAGCGGACUCUUAAUCCGUUGGUCGUAGGUUCGAAUCCUACAGGGC